RNAcentral lists this long non-coding RNA (280 nucleotides) under Linum usitatissimum (flax). RNAcentral's name for it is "long non-coding RNA (LUSI_LNC000818)". The record is from RNAcentral. Lineage: Eukaryota; Viridiplantae; Streptophyta; Magnoliopsida; Malpighiales; Linaceae.
AAGAACUUCUGAUACUUUUUCACUGCAGUCAAUGGAUGAGUUAAAGCGGCAUAAGGGACGUUUAGGACAUUCAAAGCCAAUGACUGAUUUAGCAGGGGAAGCAGAACAUGUGGCUGAGUCCAAGCUUGCAGGAGCAAAGGGAGGCCAUAAUUCCAAGGAAGAAGCUGCACUCUUCUGUGGUGGAGGUGGAGAUUCCGAUGAGAGAAUAAGUGACAUAUCGGAUUCUGAUGAGAGAAUAACUGAAACUGAUGAUUCUUCAGGCAGUGCAGUAGAACAAGCA